UACGAAGGGGACUAGCGUUGUUCGGAAUUACUGGGCGUAAAGCGCACGUAGGCGGAUUUGUUAGUCAGGGGUGAAAUCCCGGGGCUCAACCUCGGAACUGCCUUUGAUACUGCAAGUCUCGAGUCCGAUAGAGGUGGGUGGAAUUCCUAGUGUAGAGGUGAAAUUCGUAGAUAUUAGGAAGAACACCGGUGGCGAAGGCGGCCCACUGGAUCGGUACUGACGCUGAGUGAGCGAAAGCCAGGGGAGCAAACGGG
Molecule: ribosomal RNA, 254 nt
Filed under: uncultured bacterium
Lineage: Bacteria
Description: partial 16S ribosomal RNA
Rfam family: Bacterial small subunit ribosomal RNA
Source: RNAcentral